Dreissena polymorpha is the source of this 733-nucleotide long non-coding RNA. RefSeq lists it as uncharacterized. Lineage: Eukaryota; Metazoa; Mollusca; Bivalvia; Myida; Dreissenidae. The record is from RefSeq and is a predicted model, not a curated record. The transcript is spliced from 3 exons.
GAAAUCGUAAAUGCAACAUACAUAAAAUACGACUACUUAAAUAUACGUAUUUUGUAACCGAAAAAAAUAGUGACACAGUCUGAAAAAUUGCAUGACGUAAUUUUCGCGCGUUCUGUCAGCUAAGGCAAACAUCGCACAAAAAAACAUACUCCUAUAAAUAUGAGGUCGAAUUACGUCUAAUUAUUUGGACUAACAAAAACAAUGCUAGUUGUGAAUCGAAACAAAAACAAACACUGGAAAACGACGUGUAGACCGGUGUGGAAGGCUACCGAUUGCUGUUUGGCCGACACUCUCCUUCCGUUACUAAACGCAAAAAGAAGUUAUUUUGGAUGGAGACGGUUGAAAUAAAAGAAAAUGUUAUUACUGGCUGAAGGACCAAAAUUGAAUGGACAGAGAACACGGUUGACAAAACUCAAACAGAAGUUGUGUCACUCAGCUACAUUAAAACAUAAAACUGAAGGCAGAAGCAACAACUACAACAUGUGAAGAAUGAAGCAACAGCGUAAUAAAACUCGGGAGGAGAUGUUGAUGGCGUCAAGGGGAAGAUAUGCCAUUCAGAGGGACAUAAGCAAUAAUCAUGAGGAACUGGUUUCUCUUUAAAAAUCUUCUAAAUUGCUCAAUUGUUUCUGGAACUUUUAAUUGAUUUUACAUGUGAUGGUGUUCAGUGAGUCCAUGAAACUUAUUAUUACACAUACUAUCAUGUAAGAUAUAAAUUGUCAUAUGAAUUAUAAUA